UGGGGAAUUUUGCACAAUGGGGGAAACCCUGAUGCAGCGACGCCGCGUGAUUUAGAAGGCCUUCGGGUUGUAAAAAUCUUUUCUAUGGGAAGAAAAUGACAGUACCAUAGGAAUAAGGACCGGCUAAUUACGUGCCAGCAGCCGCGGUAAUACGUAAGGUCCGAGCGUUGUCCGGAAUCAUUGGGCGUAAAGGGUACGUAGGCGGGUAAGCAAGUUAGAAGUGAAAUCCUAUAGCUCAACUAUAGUAAGCUUUUAAAACUGCUCAUCUUGAGGUAUGGAAGGGAAAGUGGAAUUCCUAGUGUAGCGGUGGAAUGCGCAGAUAUUAGGAGGAAUACCGGUGGCGAAGGCGACUUUCUGGCCAUAACCUGACGCUGAGGUACGAAAGCGUGGGUAGCAAACAGG
This 402-nucleotide ribosomal RNA is filed under the name bacterium. RNAcentral describes it as "partial 16S ribosomal RNA". It matches the Rfam family "Bacterial small subunit ribosomal RNA", at positions 355 to 776 of the family's 1533-position model. The record is from RNAcentral.